GGGCGAGUGAUGAAACUGGCAGACAUGUAGCGUUCAGAGCGCUAUGAGCGCAAGCUCGUGGAGGUUCAAAUCCUCUCUCGCCCACCA
RNAcentral lists this transfer RNA (87 nucleotides) under bacterium. Its description in RNAcentral is "tRNA-Leu". It matches the Rfam family "tRNA". From Rfam's summary of the family: Transfer RNA (tRNA) molecules are approximately 80 nucleotides in length. Their secondary structure includes four short double-helical elements and three loops (D, anti-codon, and T loops). The record is from RNAcentral.